Non-coding RNA from Parelaphostrongylus tenuis, 73 nucleotides. Lineage: Eukaryota; Metazoa; Nematoda; Chromadorea; Rhabditida; Metastrongylidae. The record is from the annotation of a GenBank genome assembly.
GCGUCGGUAGUGCAACGGUUCAGCACGAGCCUUUUGACAGAGUGAAAUAUGGGUUCGACUCCCGUGUGACGCA